Molecule: ribosomal RNA, 468 nt
Filed under: uncultured bacterium
Lineage: Bacteria
Description: partial 16S ribosomal RNA
Rfam family: Bacterial small subunit ribosomal RNA
Source: RNAcentral
GACGAACGCUGGCGGCGCGCCUAACACAUGCAAGUCGAACGGUGCUGCGAGAAGCUUGCUUGUCUUAGCUUAGUGGUGAACGGGUGAGUAACGCGUGAGUAACCUGCCCUGGCGUGGGGGACAACAGUUGGAAACGACUGCUAAUACCGCAUAAGCCCACGAUCCGGCAUCGGAUUGAGGGAAAAGGAUUUAUUCGCUUCAGGAUGGACUCGCGUCCAAUUAGAUAGUUGGUGAGGUAACGGCCCACCAAGGCGAGGAUUGGUAGCCGGACUGAGAGGCUGAACGGCCACAUCGGGACUGAGACACGGCCGAGACUCCUACGGGAGGCAGCAGUGGGGGAUAUUGCACAAUGGGGGAAACCCUGAUGCAGCUACGCCGCGUGGAGGAAGAAGGUUUUCGGAUUGUAAACUCCUGUCGUUAGGGACGAUAAUGACGGUACCUAACAAGAAAGCACCGGCUAACUACGUG